Long non-coding RNA from Oncorhynchus tshawytscha (Chinook salmon), 501 nucleotides. Lineage: Eukaryota; Metazoa; Chordata; Actinopteri; Salmoniformes; Salmonidae. The record is from Ensembl.
AUUCUCUGGUCUGAUGAAACCAAGAUUGAACUCUUUGGCCUGAAUGCCAAACAUCACGUCUGGAGGAAACCUGGCACCAUCCCUACGCAGCAGGCGGGUCCGAGUCUGCUGAUCAGUGUGAUCAAAGACCUCGUGGAAGACCUCAAUCUGAUAGGACACAGCUUCCUGGACUUGCUCAGCUGACCCACCCUGCCCUUUUCACUGUCCGUCUGAGCUGGAUUCAAAUAGUAUUUGCUUUCUUUCAAAUACUUUGAGCAUUUGAUUGAUCCGGUCUGAUGCACGGUUGCACAUUAUGGGACUAUUGGACGGCAGGUGAAGUAUUUUAAAAUGAAAGGGAUGUUUAUUUAAACCAGGUCUGAUGCUGAUAACCAUUAUUAAAGGGACAUGCCACUUUGUUGGCAACACAUCUCUCUCUUUCUGUGUUUCGCACUCAAAGCUCCCAUCCAUCUGAACUAAGAUGUGACUGUUUUGAGUUGUUCAAUAUGUUGGGUGAUAUUCAAC